CAGGUCAUUAAAGAUUGCAUAUUUUGGCGUUAAUAUUGAUUCACUUAUAGGGUCUUUGCAUCGGAACUAAACACAUUUAUUCAAAAACCAGUUGUUGGCAUGACACGGGUUAUGUUCUUCUCAUAUAUGUUAUGAUGGUAUGAUACUAAACCCCUAACAGGAAGGAUUGUGCCUGAUGUUCAUAUGAUGAAAUCAUAAUCUUUCAGUCAGUUUAAUUGAAGUCUGGAGCUGGCAUGUCAGUUAACUGCUAGUAGUCUGUUGUUAUUUAUGUAUUAUUGUCAUUUUGUUUAUUUUCUUUGGUUACAUCUUCUGACAUCAGACUCGGACUUCUCUUGAACUGAAUUUUAAUGUGCGUAUUGUUAUGCGUUUACUUUUCUACAUUGGCUAGAGGUAUAGGGGGAGGGUUGAGAUCUCACAAACAUGUUUAACCCCACCGAAUUUUUGCGCCUGUCCCAAGUCAGGAGCCUCUGGCCUUUGUUAGUCUUGUAUUAUUUUAAUUUUAGUUUCUUGUGUACAAUUUGGAAAUUAGUAUGGCGUUCAUUAUCACUGAACUAGUAUAUAUUUGUUUAGGGGCCAGCUGAAGGACGCCUCCGGGUGCGGGAAUUUUUCGCUACAUUGAAGACCUGUUGGUGACCUUCUGCUGUUGUUUUUUUUCUAUGGUCGGGUUGUUGUCUCUU
RNAcentral lists this long non-coding RNA (677 nucleotides) under Mytilus galloprovincialis (Mediterranean mussel). The record is from RNAcentral. Lineage: Eukaryota; Metazoa; Mollusca; Bivalvia; Mytilida; Mytilidae.